CCUACGGGUGGCAGCAGUAGGGAAUAUUGCUCAAUGGGGGAAACCCUGAAGCAGCAACGCCGCGUGGAGGAUGAAGGUUUUCGGAUUGUAAACUCCUUUUGUUAGAGAAGAUAAUGACGGUAUCUAACGAAUAAGCACCGGCUAACUCCGUGCCAGCAGCCGCGGUAAUACGGAGGGUGCAAGCGUUACUCGGAAUCACUGGGCGUAAAGAGCGCGGAGGCGGGAUAGCAAGUCAGAUGUGAAAUCCUAGGGCUGAACCAUAGAAAUGCAUUUGAAACUGUUAUUCUAGAGUAUGGGAGAGGUAGGUGGAAUUCUUGGUGUAGGGGUAAAAUCCGUAGAGAUCAAGAGGAAUACUCAUUGCGAAGGCGACCUGCUAGAACAUAACUGACGCUGAUGCGCGAAAGCGUGGGGAGCAAACAGGAUUAGAUACCCCUGUAGUC
Molecule: ribosomal RNA, 440 nt
Filed under: uncultured bacterium
Lineage: Bacteria
Description: partial 16S ribosomal RNA
Rfam family: Bacterial small subunit ribosomal RNA
Source: RNAcentral